GACGAACGCUGGCGGCGUGCUUAACACAUGCAAGUCGAACGGAAAGGCCCUUCGGGGUUCUCGAGUGGCGAACGGGUGAGUAACACGUGGGUGAUCUGCCCUGCACUUUGGGAUAAGCCUGGGAAACUGGGUCUAAUACCGAAUAGGACCACGCGCUUCAUGGUGUGUGGUGGAAAGCUUUUGCGGCGUGGGAUGGGCCCGCGGCCUAUCAGCUUGUUGGUGGGGUAAUGGCCUACCAAGGCGACGACGGGUAGCCGGCCUGAGAGGGUGACCGGCCACACUGGGACUGAGAUACGGCCCAGACUCCUACGGGAGGCAGCAGUGGGGAAUAUUGCACAAUGGGCGCAAGCCUGAUGCAGCGACGCCGCGUGAGGGAUGACGGCCUUCGGGUUGUAAACCUCUUUCAAUAGGGACGAAGCGCAAGUGACGGUACCUAUAGAAGAAGCACCGGCCAACUACGUG
RNAcentral lists this ribosomal RNA (462 nucleotides) under uncultured bacterium. Its description in RNAcentral is "partial 16S ribosomal RNA". It matches the Rfam family "Bacterial small subunit ribosomal RNA", at positions 28 to 507 of the family's 1533-position model. The record is from RNAcentral.